AGUGAACGCUGGCGGUAGGCCUAACACAUGCAAGUCGAACGGCAGCACAGUAAGAGCUUGCUCUUACGGGUGGCGAGUGGCGGACGGGUGAGGAAUACAUCGGAAUCUACUUUUUCGUGGGGGAUAACGUGGGGAAACUUACGCUAAUACCGCAUACGACCUACGGGUGAAAGCAGGGGAUCUUCGGACCUUGCGCGAUUGAAUGAGCCGAUGUCGGAUUAGCUAGUUGGCGGGGUAAAGGCCCACCAAGGCGACGAUCCGUAGCUGGUCUGAGAGGAUGAUCAGCCACACUGGAACUGAGACACGGUCCAGACUCCUACGGGAGGCAGCAGUGGGGAAUAUUGGACAAUGGGCGCAGGCCUGAUCCAGCCAUACCGCGUGGGUGAAGAAGGCCUUCGGGUUGUAAAGCCCUUUUGUUGGGAAAGAAAAGCAGCAGGUUAAUACCCCGCUGUUCUGACGGUACCCAAAGAAUAAGCACCGGCUAACUUCGUG
RNAcentral lists this ribosomal RNA (492 nucleotides) under uncultured bacterium. RNAcentral describes it as "partial 16S ribosomal RNA". It matches the Rfam family "Bacterial small subunit ribosomal RNA", at positions 29 to 507 of the family's 1533-position model. The record is from RNAcentral.